GGGCCCGCACAAGCGGUGGAGCAUGUGGUUUAAUACGUCACUAACCGUAGAACCUCACCCAGGCUUGACAUCCACUGUAAGUCUAUGAAAGUGGUACCCCUGUAUGGAAACAUGCAGCAGUGAGACAGGUGUUGCAUGGCUGUCGUCAGCUCGUGUCGUGAGAUGUUGGGUUAAGUCCCGCAACGAGCGCAACCCUCAUCCGAUGUUGCCAGCGUAAAGUCGGGGACUCUUCGGAAACUGCCCGUGCAAGCGGGAGGAAGGUGGGGAUGACGUCAAGUCAGCAUGGCCCUUACGCCUGGGGCUACACACAUGCUACAAUGGACGUUAACAAAGGGCAGCAAGACCGCGAGGUCAAGCUAAUCUCAUAAAUACGUCCUCAGUUCGGAUUGUAGUCUGCAACUCGACUACAUGAAGUCGGAAUCGCUAGUAACCGCAGGUCAGCUAUACUGCGGUGAAUACGUUCCCGGGCCUU
This 472-nucleotide ribosomal RNA is filed under the name uncultured bacterium. RNAcentral describes it as "bacterial SSU rRNA". It matches the Rfam family "Bacterial small subunit ribosomal RNA", at positions 917 to 1382 of the family's 1533-position model. The record is from RNAcentral.